GGGACCCUGAGGCCAGUACUCACGGUGCCUGCGUAGUGAACCAGCUCGAAGUGGACCUCGGGCCCCUUGCUCUUGCCCCCCUUGGGCUUCAGGAAGUUGCUGGACUUGCCCAGGUGGUUGUCGUACAGGGCUGCCUUGAACGUGGCAUCGGUGGCUUUGGGGAAGACGCACUGUUCCUCCAAGAUGGAGAAGAUGCCCAUGGGCUGGGAAGGAAGAGAACAGGGUGAUGUUAGAGGAGGUGGCAGGACCCAAAAGAGGACAAACUGGUACUGAGCCCAGGGCCAGUGUAGAGAUGCACCAGACACCCACGUGGGCAUCCAGGAAGCAGGACUCUGUGCAGUGACAUCUGGGAACAGUGCCUGGUGCUCCAUGACCUUGUCAUCAAACACCAUGGCCAUUAAGACUUGAAAGAGGCUGAAAUCAUCGAGUCCAACAGAAGGGAAGACUGAGAUCUGAAGGGGCCAGAUAGCUCCCCAAAUGCUAAUCCCACCUAAACAGUGGCCCCUGGCAAGCUUGGCCUUCUGAAAAAUGGGGAAGUCAAUGCCACCUGUGCUCUCUGCUUUUUUUUUUUAAUUUAAUUUAUUUAUUUUGAGACAGAGUCUCGCUCUGUCGCCCAGGCUGGAGUGCAGUGGCACAAUCUCGGCUCACUGCAACCUCCGCCUUCCAUGUUCAAGUGAUUCUCCUCCCUCAGCCUCCUGAGUAGCUGGGAUUACAGGUGCCCGCCACCACACCUGGCUAAUUUUUGUAUUAGAGAUGAGGUUUCACCAUGUUGGCCAGGCUGGUCUCAAAACUCCUGACCUCAGGUGAUCCACCCACCUCAGCCUCCCAAAUUGCUGGGAUUACAGGUGUGAACCACCAUGCCUGGCCACAACACACAUUCUUGAAGGGGACCAUUUGCUAAAACCUUCCAUGUGGAUGUGGUUAUAGGUAAAACUAUUAUAUUGCCUGGGUCAGAGCGUGACUCUGCCACUCACAGGUUGUGGGACAUUGGACAAGGAAGUUCCCUUCUCUGUGCCUCAAUGUUCCCAUCUCUGUGCCUCAAUGUUCCCAUCUGUGAAAUGGGUGUAAUAAAAGUAUCCCCUCCCCCACAUGCAGUAGGUUGUGAUGAUCCAAUGAAUGGUGGCAUGCAAUAGCCCAACAAACAGUAGUCAUUGCAGUCACUUCAGUACCCAUUUUGCAGAUAGGGAGCUAGAGGUCAUACCAAGGAAGGUCACUGGUGGUGUCACUGACUCCCCUGAAGCCAAGUGCCACCUCCCUGCAUGUGCCAGUGACAUCCCUUGGCCCUGGCCUCUCUCCAAUCCCUCCUUUGAGAAGCAAGUCACCUUUUCCAGCAGGUCGAUGCAGGCCUGAAGGUCGAGGCCAAAGUCGAUGAAGACCCACUCGAUGCCUUCCCUCUUGUACUCCUCCUGCUCCAGCACGAACAUGUGGUGGUUGAAGAACUGCUGCAGCUUCUCGUUGGUGAAGUUGAUGCAUAGCUGCUCAAAGCUGUUGAACUGUGGCGGCAGGAGGGCAGAAAGAGGGGCGUCAGCACAGGC
RNAcentral lists this long non-coding RNA (1535 nucleotides) under Homo sapiens (human). Its description in RNAcentral is "HSALNT0126175". Lineage: Eukaryota; Metazoa; Chordata; Mammalia; Primates; Hominidae. The record is from RNAcentral.